This 270-nucleotide unclassified non-coding RNA is filed under the name Hevea brasiliensis (rubber tree). The record is from RNAcentral. Lineage: Eukaryota; Viridiplantae; Streptophyta; Magnoliopsida; Malpighiales; Euphorbiaceae.
GUUAAUCUACACCCUAAAUUGCAUUUACUUGAUGUUUUACAUAUACCAAAAUUCAAAUACAACCUCUUGUCUGUAAGCAAGUUAACCCAAACUUCAAAAAUUAUUGUUAAAUUCUUUCACGAUUGUUGUAUCUUGCAGGACCAAGUGUCUAAUGAGGUAUUGGCUACUGGGAAGUUGCAAGGUGGAUUAUACAAGUUGAAUAAGGCAUCAUUUAGCCAUAAUAAAACCUCUGUUCCACCUAGUUUUAUACCAAAACCUAUAUGUACUCAU